GGCCUGGUCCGCAGGGAGGAACUUGGAGCUCUCCAGCAGGCAGGGGCAUUGGGCCUUGUGCACGCAUUCGCCCUUGUGGUCCAGCUGUCCGGUGCUGUGCUGUGCUGUGCAGUGACAGUGGUCUUCAUGGCCAGGACUGCUGAAGCUGACUGUGGUGUUGUGAUGAAUAGAGCUCUUUCUUGCUGCCUGGGACCACCAUGCUCCUGGCAUUGCUGUUCCCCUGCAACUGACCCACAGGCUGAGGAGCCAACCGAUCAACCAACUGUGAACCCCAGGGCCACAGCACCUUCUCCCAACCCUGUCCUGCCGUGAGUGUCUUCCCUGGCCCUGUGUCCCAUAUCAGGAUCCGAGGUGACCUCCUGGAAACUGGCCCCUCUGUAUCCCUUCCCCUCCUGCAGGAUGUCCCACCCUGCAGCCCCUGCGUCCCCUGGUGCCAGAGGUAUAGGUUGGGCCAGGCGGUGGCCUGCCACAAAGGCACAGAAGUGCCAUGUCUUCCUCCAUAGCCUGCAGCCUGUGCCGAGGGUGAGACCUGAGGGUCAGUGUGGACAGCCCCACCCAGGGUGGCCCUCCUGGCUAGCCAGAGGGCUGGGUGGGAGAUGGGAGUGGGCAGGGCUUCCUCCCACAGCCAACAGCUGGAGGAAGUAGCUGCCCAAGGUGACAUCCACUGGGCAGAGGGGUGGCCAGCAGGCGCAGCUGGGCGGGUUUGAGAGGCUGCCUGUCUCCUGCUGGCUGUGGCCUGUGCUGCAAGUGGGCUGAGGGUGGCUGGUCUCCUGGUGACUGCCCAGGCCCCUGCUGAAGGACUGUUCCCAACCCAGUGAGGAGCAUAGGGGUUUCAUCACUGUCCAGGCUUUGCAGGUGGCUGCCCAGGGAUGGCCUAUGGGAGCAGGAAGGGCACCAGGCUGUGCUGCCCAGGGCCGCGAGUGAGCCAGGCUCCUGUGCGGCCCCAGCUCCUGCCUAACCUCCUCUCAGUUUCAUCAAGCCCCAGCCUACAGCCUUAGCCUAACCUUGUCUGAGACCCCAGCACCCCUACAUCUGUCCUUUCAACCCAGCACCCUCCGGGAGACCAUGGAGGCUGGAGGGGGGCCUCCAGCACCGACAGACACACAGUGGUCCUGGGCCCCUCCAGCCACGUCGUCUCUCUGGGCUGGCAGGACUGCAGGCCGCUGGUGCUGGGGGACGGAGGGGGUGCACUCUCCACUACGCCCCUGCCCUGAGUCUGUCCCACAUGGCUCUCCCCUUGGCUCUGGAGUUGAGGAGCCAGCGAUUACUUGGCCAGGUCUUGGGCUCCAGGUCCUGGUUCCUGCUCUCCCCCUGCUUCCUGGAAGAGGCCAGCAGGAGGGUGGUGGUGCUGGCCUUGUGCCCGCAACAGGACCUGGCCAUAAACCUGCAGGGCGAGGCUGUGGGUGCACGCUGACCCCCUGCGGACUUUCCUCCCUCCUGGCCCACAGCUGUCACCAUUCCCAAGAACUGGCACCUUGUUUGUUCCUUGAGGAGCUGCUGGCAUUGUCUCCCUGGCCCGGCACCCACCCACCUUCUCCCACAGCUGCCCAAGCUGGGACAGGACCCGGCCUCGCCCUCCUCAGUGCCGGGUGUGCCUGAGUGGCACUGGGCUGCCCUGGGGUCCCCAGUCCCUCUGGGGGCAGCCGUGAGCUGCACACCUGCACAGACCCCACUGGCCAGCAGGUGGACCCGGUGCCCCCUGCUCGGGAAGAGAAGCGUCAGGCUUUGGGG
Long non-coding RNA from Fukomys damarensis (Damara mole-rat), 1731 nucleotides. RefSeq lists it as uncharacterized. NCBI's taxonomy places the organism in Eukaryota, Metazoa, Chordata, Mammalia, Rodentia, Bathyergidae. The record is from RefSeq and is a predicted model, not a curated record. The transcript is spliced from 3 exons.